Molecule: unclassified non-coding RNA, 253 nt
Filed under: uncultured Ascomycota
Lineage: Eukaryota; Fungi; Ascomycota
Description: sequence contains ITS1
Source: RNAcentral
CAGAGUGACGGUUUCGCAAGAGACCAGUUACCCGACCUUUUGUCAUUGUGCGUGGGAGGACGGGAGGAAGCGAGGGCGGAACGGACCGUUGUCUGGGGUCAACCCCGAGCGGGCCGAGCCGUCCCUGGCUCUGAACGAACGACCGCGAUUGAUAACUUCGGCGGAAGUGGUAGGCUCUGACCUGCCCGCCGCCGGCCGUAAUCCACACUCUUGUGAGAAUCUGAAGUCUGAUUAUUAUGAAAUGAAAAAAGCA